AAAUUUUGCAGAAAUACACAUGCUCUGCUAACAAUUUUUAUGAACCAAACUCAAUAGUUUCACAAUCAUCACAACUAUUUUCUUCAAUUAUUUUCCAUUUACAAAUUGGGUACACAUGAUUGAGAUUCAGAUUUGGGUCUGACGAGUUUUUGCUGAAUUCAGGUGGGUUAAUUUUUGAACUUGUAUUUGGGAUAACUGGGGACUAAGAGCAGGCUAUUAAUGAUGAUUUAGUGGAUUGUGGAG
RNAcentral lists this long non-coding RNA (243 nucleotides) under Panax ginseng (ginseng). Its description in RNAcentral is "long non-coding RNA (PGIN_LNC012879)". Lineage: Eukaryota; Viridiplantae; Streptophyta; Magnoliopsida; Apiales; Araliaceae. The record is from RNAcentral.